CGCGUAGGUGGUAGUGUAAGUCUGAGGUGGAAUCCUAUGGCUUAACCAUAGAACUGCCUUGGAUACUGUAUUACUUGAGUCAGUGAGGGGAGGGUAGAAUUCCUGGUGUAGCGGUGAAAUGCGUAGAUAUCAGGAGGAAGGCCUGUGGCGAAGGCGGCCCUCUGGUGCUGGACUGACACUGAGGCGCGAAAAGCGUGGGGAGCAAAACAGGAUUAGAUACCCUGGUAGUCCACGCCCUAAACGGUGGGCACUAGGUGUAGGGCUCGCAAGGGUUCUGUGCCGAAGGGAAACCAUUAAGUGCCCCGCCUGGGGAGUACGGCCACAAGGUUGAA
RNAcentral lists this ribosomal RNA (332 nucleotides) under uncultured bacterium. RNAcentral describes it as "bacterial SSU rRNA". It matches the Rfam family "Bacterial small subunit ribosomal RNA", at positions 568 to 898 of the family's 1533-position model. The record is from RNAcentral.